Molecule: microRNA precursor, 105 nt
Filed under: Canis lupus familiaris (dog)
Lineage: Eukaryota; Metazoa; Chordata; Mammalia; Carnivora; Canidae
Also listed under: 1 other name
Description: mir-8834 microRNA precursor family
Rfam family: mir-8834 microRNA precursor family
Source: Rfam by way of RNAcentral
AGGAGGAACAACCCCAUUGGUUGUUGCAGCUCUGGAGCCCUGGAUUCAGCUCCCGCAGUAACUCCGGAGCUCUGGGUCUACAGGGCCUGGAGGCACAGGGGCGGG